Molecule: small RNA, 81 nt
Filed under: Homo sapiens (human)
Lineage: Eukaryota; Metazoa; Chordata; Mammalia; Primates; Hominidae
Description: nc049 non-coding RNA
Source: RNAcentral
UAACCUCAGUGAGUGGAGGGCAAAGUAGAAGGGCACUCUUAGGCGCCGGCCAGGCUGCCCAAGCCCUUGCUGUCUGCUCUC